AUGCGUAGAGAUCUGAAGGAAUACCAGUGGCGAAGGCGGCCCCCUGGACAAAGACUGACGCUCAGAUGCGAAAGCGUGGGUAGCAAACAGGAUUAGAUACCCUGGUAGUCCACGCCGUAAACGCUGUCUACUUGGAGGUUGAGGUUUAGACUUUGGCUUUCGGCGCUAACGCAUUAAGUAGACCGCCUGGGGAGUACGGCCGCAAGGUUAAAACUCAAAUGAAUUGACGGGGGCCCGCACAAGCGGUGGAGCAUGUGGUUUAAUUCGAUGCAACGCGAAGAACCUUACCUACUCUUGACAUCCAGUGAACUUUCCAGAGAUGGAUUGGUGCCUUCGGGAACACUGAGACAGGUGCUGCAUGGCUGUCGUCAGCUCGUGUUGUGAAAUGUUGGGUUAAGUCCCGCAACGAGCGCAACCCUUAUCCUUGUUUGCCAGCACGUAAUGGUGGGAACUCCAGGGAGACUGCCGGUGAUAAACCGGAGGAAGGUGGGGACGACGUCAAGUCAUCAUGGCCCUUACGAGUAGGGCUACACACGUGCUACAAUGGCAGAUACAGAGGGCAGCGAAGCUGCGAAGUGGAGCGAAUCCCUUAAAGUCUGUCGUAGUCCGGAUUGGAGUCUGCAACUCGACUCCAUGAAGUCGGAAUCGC
This 649-nucleotide ribosomal RNA is filed under the name uncultured Salinivibrio sp. Its description in RNAcentral is "bacterial SSU rRNA". It matches the Rfam family "Bacterial small subunit ribosomal RNA", at positions 686 to 1335 of the family's 1533-position model. The record is from RNAcentral. Lineage: Bacteria; Pseudomonadati; Pseudomonadota; Gammaproteobacteria; Vibrionales; Vibrionaceae.